CUCUUAGAUGUUCUGGGCCGCACGCGUGCUACACUGAGUGGAUCAGCGGGUCAGGUUGCGCGAAAGUGUUUCCUAAUCUUUAAAUCCGCUCGUGAUGGGGAUUGACGGUUGCAAUUUUCCGUCAUGAACGAGGAAUACCUUGUAAGCGCGGGUCAUCAUCCCGCGCUGAAUACGUCCCUGCCCUUUGUACACACCGCCCGUCGCUCCUACCGAUUGAGUGGUCCGGUGAGGCUUUGGGAUCUGGGCGGAAAGAGCGUUUCGCUGUUUCUGCCCGGAAAACUCAGUCGAACCUUAUCAUUUAGAGGAAGGAGAAGUCGUAACA
This 322-nucleotide ribosomal RNA is filed under the name uncultured eukaryote. RNAcentral describes it as "partial 18S ribosomal RNA". It matches the Rfam family "Eukaryotic small subunit ribosomal RNA", at positions 1470 to 1796 of the family's 1831-position model. The record is from RNAcentral.